Molecule: long non-coding RNA, 930 nt
Filed under: Equus caballus (horse)
Lineage: Eukaryota; Metazoa; Chordata; Mammalia; Perissodactyla; Equidae
Description: lncRNA (ENSECAG00000053942.1)
Source: RNAcentral
AUUUCUGCUAGCUUUUAAAACUCUAUUAAUACUUUAAUUAUGAAUUUUCUUUGUUUUUAUAGUCUAAGGCUAUUUGAUGGGUAGGCAGAGUUUUAUAAAUUAAAUAAGUAGAUAUUAUUCACUUACGGAGAAAAAGAAGAAAAUAAUCAGAGAAAGUAAACUCUUUGGGGGAGUGACUAUAAUUAGUUCCCUAAUUUAAAUGAAACUCUGCCCACAGCAUUGAACUUUAGAGACUUGACAAGACCAUGGCUUCUGAAAUAAUGGCACCUUCUGCACUGCCCCCUCCCCUACCUUGUGCCUCAGACGCAAGAAAGCUUUCAACCAUCAUGUGUGUUUGAUGUGAAAAGGGAAUAAAAUAGUACAGAAACCUGAAGGCCUGUGGAUGCCAGUCUUUACUCUUGCUGAUGGGUUAUGUGAACUUGGGCAAAUUAUUUACUUUCUCUGAACCUCAUCUCUGAAAGUGUAGAUAAUAAUUUCUAUUUUUCCUGUCAUUAUAGGGUCUUUAUAAGGGAGAAAUGACAUAAUGGAUGAAAAAUUACGUGCUAAACUGUAAGGCUAGCCUGGACUUGUUCAUGUGGCAAAGUCAGAGGAGCAAGAGAGAGAAAGCAAAAAUGUGCUUUUUCAAGCCUUUGCUUGUGUUAUAUUUGCUAACAUCCCAUUGUUCACACGUGGCUGAACCCAGAGUCAAGGGUUGGGGCGGAAAACCCCAUCCACAGUGGGAAGGUGCUGCAACAUUAUACGGAAAAGAAAUUGAGUAGAGAAGUGGAUGCAUGUUCGAUUCCUGCACUCCCCGCCUACAGACCUCAGAGCCCAGGCCAUGGCAGUAUUGCAAAGGGACAACAAACCCAUGGGUCCCUCCAGAAUGGACUGUAAAUGAAAUAUGUUCUAGUGUCUUUAAAGAAUAAAAUAGAAAUUUAUUUAAAAGUGUUG